This 396-nucleotide ribosomal RNA is filed under the name uncultured bacterium. RNAcentral describes it as "partial 16S ribosomal RNA". It matches the Rfam family "Bacterial small subunit ribosomal RNA", at positions 523 to 918 of the family's 1533-position model. The record is from RNAcentral.
AUACGUAGGGGGCAAGCGUUAUCCGGAUUUACUGGGUGUAAAGGGAGCGUAGACGGUAAAGCAAGUCUGAAGUGAAAGCUCGGGGCUCAACCCCGGAACUGCUUUGGAAACUGUUUUACUGGAGUGCAGGAGAGGUAAGCGGAAUUUCUAGUGUAGCGGUGAAAUGCGUAGAUAUUAGGAGGAACACCAGAGGCGAAGGCGGCUUACUGGACUGUAACUGACGUUGAGGCUCGAAGGCGUGGGGAGCAAACAGGAUUAGAUACCCUGGUAGUCCACGCGGUAAACGAUGAUCACUAGGUGUCGGCGGCCAUAGGCGGUCGGUGCCGCAGCAAACGCAAUGAGUGAUCCACCUGGGGAGUACGUUCGCAAGAAUGAAACUCAAAUGAAUUGACGGGG